AGCGAACGCUGGCGGCAGGCUUAACACAUGCAAGUCGAGCGGAUGUAGCAAUACAUCAGCGGCAGACGGGAGAGUAACACGUGGGAACGCGCCCUUCGGUUCGGAAUAACUCAGGGAAACUUGAGCUAAUACCGGAUACGCCCUAACGGGGAAAGAUUUAUUGCCGAAGGAACGGCCCGCGUCGGAUUAGCUAGUUGGUGAGGUAAUGGCUCACCAAGGCGACGAUCCGUAGCUGGUCUGAGAGGAUGACCAGCCUCACUGGGACUGAGACACGGCCCAGACUCCUACGGGAGGCAGCAGUGGGGAAUAUUGGACAAUGGGCGCAAGCCUGAUCCAGCCAUGCCGCGUGGGUGAUGAAGGCCUUAGGGUUGUAAAGCUCUUUCAGCUGGGAAGAUAAUGACGGUACCAGCAGAAGAAGCCCCGGCUAACUCCGUGCCAGCCGCCGCAGUAACAC
Molecule: ribosomal RNA, 454 nt
Filed under: uncultured bacterium
Lineage: Bacteria
Description: bacterial SSU rRNA
Rfam family: Bacterial small subunit ribosomal RNA
Source: RNAcentral